ACCUCAAAUCGGGUGAGACUACCCGCUGAACUUAAGCAUAUCAAUAAAGCGGGAGGAAA
This 59-nucleotide ribosomal RNA is filed under the name uncultured Russulaceae. Its description in RNAcentral is "partial 28S ribosomal RNA". The record is from RNAcentral. Lineage: Eukaryota; Fungi; Basidiomycota; Agaricomycetes; Russulales; Russulaceae.